Oreochromis aureus is the source of this 2447-nucleotide RNA transcript. It is a transcript of the gene named asialoglycoprotein receptor 2-like, with no coding region annotated. The record is from RefSeq and is a predicted model, not a curated record. NCBI's taxonomy places the organism in Eukaryota, Metazoa, Chordata, Actinopteri, Cichliformes, Cichlidae. The transcript has 5 exons.
CAGAGCUGAGCUCUAAGUAAUAAUCUGCAUCUGAACCAUGGAGGAAAUUUAUGCCAAUGUUGAAUACCCCAAACAUAACAAUUCAAAACCUUCACCAGGUCACACAGGAACAAGCGGCCGUGAAAGGAGUUUCCAUUUAGGAAUUAUUAUCUGUCUGGGAAUGCUGAGUGUUUUCCUGCUGAUUGGACUCAUCACCCUUGGUGUUUACUAGAAAGUGUGUCCUGAAGGAUGGAGAAUGUUCUGUCAUAGCUGUUACGUAUUAUCUGAAAAGCUUGGUUCCUGGGAUGAAGGUAGAGAUGACUGCAGAAGCAAAGGAGCAGAUCUGGUGGUGAUAGAAAGCCUUGAAGACAAGACAUUUAUAUCUAGUUACAUUAAGGAACGUGCUUGGAUUGGUUUGAAUGACAAAGAAGAGGAAGGAAAUUGGAAAUGGGUCGAUGGAACUCCACUGACUCUACAGAACUGGGUGGCAAAACAACCGGAUAACGGUGAUGGAAACCCAAAGUGGGGUGAAGAGGACUGCGUUCAUGUAGAGCCUGAUGCAUCAUGGAAUGAUCUCUCAUGUUCAGCCUCUCUAAAGUGGAUCUGUGAAAAACAUACAACAGAAUAAUUCAUUGACCACUGUCUGACAUGCAUUUACUAAUUUAGCUGUGACUUUUAUUCUAUCCUAUCAGUCAUUUUCACUCCAUUUUAACUUUUUUUUUUUUUUGCUGUAGCUAAAAAUGUGUAACCUUUUAAAUCUAAAGUUAUGCUUAUGCCAGUAGAAAUACCAGAUACUUAUGGAAGUGUUUUGUGUAUUCCAAUAUUAUUUAAAGAAAAAAAAUCAAUCCCUUGUUAGGGAAAAAAUAAAAAUAAGGUCUCAAGUCUUGUGUUCUAGAGAACAGUGGCUGCAGUCACAUUUAGUCUGAGCUCAGUGUGGUUCAGUGGGUAUCUAAACGAUGAAACCCAACUCAACAGUGACACCUGCUGGCCAGUUUGGCUAUCACCACGUCUUGAUGAUGCUGUUCUGUGAAACAAUGACACAGAAAAACCUUGCAAAAUUCAAAGCAAAAAUACUUAUUAAACCAGACUGUCAAUAAUUGUGAUCAUCACGUGUUUUGGAGAAAUCCUCGUACAAACAGGGAAGGGAAAAAAAGGGACUCUUAAAGACAGAAAGCUGUAACUGUAAUAACCGGUGUGCUUCAGCAAAAUUCUCAGUCUGUUAACAUUCAUAUUGCUCACAAUAAAUCAAAUUAUAAAGUAAAGUAUACAGGAAAACCCUGCAGUGUUUACUUUAAUAGCCACAAAGAUUUACAGCUGUUCUUUGGGCUCGUUCAUCUUUGUUUUUUGCUCACAGCCCAAUGACAACAGAUAAAUUAUCCCAUAUGUUAAUUCUCUGUAGUAACUCCAAAAUGAACUAAUGAAACAGUACAAAGCACCACAUGAUGUGUUGUCAGUGAAAGGUGCAGCUGUUUUAUUGAUAAACUUAAAGACAAAAUGUCAAAGGGAUUAAUCAUUCAUGUGACUGUGUCACUAUAUAUCAGCAUUAACAGUGCCUCAGUUUAGUGUUUCAGACAGCUGCUGAUCUCAGACCUGCACACUUUCUGUUUUAAACACUGAAUGUACUCAGGUGCAUGAAGAGCACAUGAGAUUUUCUGACACAAAUAAAUAAACCUGAUGAAGGUCAAAGGUUGCCACUCGUAUGUAGAACUAAAAACUUGUGAUUUUGAAUUCUUUCACUGUUUUUUGCCAAUAGUGUGUUAUUUACCAUAAAGUAAUUCAGUCAUUCAUACCAGAGUAACCAGAGAGGAUGAUAUAUUUUUAAAUAUAUAACUUUCUACAGGACUGAAUAAAAUAUCUUUAUGUAAAAGCCCAGGGCCUCUGAGGAUUAUACAAGUAUUUAUAACAUUAGACAAACUAAAGAUCUCCAUCAAAGUGUUGAUGAAAUCCUGGGUUUAUCCAUCUUCUGGGGCGGGCCUACAGUGGAGCUCUGAAGAUUUCCCUGUAAGGGAGCUGGUGGUGAAGAUCAUGAGUCCUCCUUGAUCCCUGCCUUUAGCUUCAGUCUUCCUGAUGUUUGUGAAAGGAUGCCUCUCUCAAUGAGUGAACAGAACAUCUGGCACAAGACAGCUGAUGGUCUCCCUCCCCAGUUUUCCCCCCAGGGUGAAUGUAGCUGUUGAUUCAGUAAAAGGACUAGAUGUAACAAUCCCUGAUAAUGCGUUAUUAUCUAAUGGGGGGGGAGACAAAUUACACCUAUGAAACCUCUUGCUGCUGCUUUUAUGUAAAGUUUCCAUGUUACCAAGCUGUAGAGUGCUCUGUGAGUGUAAUGCAGGGGUCGGCAACCCUAGGCACGCGUGCCAAGGGUUAACUGAUGGCACGACCAAUGCUGGACUGGCCAUCGGGCUUUUGCUCGGUGUUUCUAUACAGCUGGGUGUGUGCUUUGAUGUUAGUGAUACCAUAGUGAACUGUAUUUU